Molecule: long non-coding RNA, 272 nt
Filed under: Elaeis guineensis (African oil palm)
Lineage: Eukaryota; Viridiplantae; Streptophyta; Magnoliopsida; Arecales; Arecaceae
Description: long non-coding RNA (EGUI_LNC010704)
Source: RNAcentral
CCUUCUUCCUCCCUUUCGGUUUAGUCUCUCCGGCCAUGGGGUGCUUGGAAGCCGGUGAGGUGCCAGUUCGGGCUUAAACAGGGACACCCCUGUUUACGUUUUAUUUUUUUUUCUUCUCCCCGUGUGCCGCCGGCAACAGCCACCGUUGGGGCUGUGGAUGCAUCGCCGUCGGCGGCUGUCGGAGGGUGGCCGGAGUUGGCCCUCUUUGGCCGCUUGAGGGUGAGAGGAGAUGGAGGGGCACGAUGCCCUGUUUUGCCCCAAAGGAAACCACG